AGGGGGGACGGAGAAGGCUAUGUUGGCCGGGCGACGGUUGUCCCGGUUUAAGCGUGUAGGUGUGUGUUCCAGGUAAAUCCGGUUCACUUUAACACUGAGGCGUGACGACGAGGCACUACGGUGCUGAAGCAACAAAUGCCCUGCUUCCAGGAAAAGCCUCUAAGCAUCAGGUAACAUCAAAUCGUACCCCAAACCGACACAGGUGGUCAGGUAGAGAAUACCAAGGCGCUUGAGAGAACUCGGGUGAAGGAACUAGGCAAAAUGGUGCCGUAACUUCGGGAGAAGGCACGCUGACACGUAGGUGAAGUGAUUUACUCAUGGAGCUGAA
RNAcentral lists this ribosomal RNA (328 nucleotides) under Salmonella enterica subsp. enterica serovar Stanley. RNAcentral's name for it is "partial 23S ribosomal RNA". It matches the Rfam family "Bacterial large subunit ribosomal RNA", at positions 1465 to 1781 of the family's 2925-position model. Lineage: Bacteria; Pseudomonadati; Pseudomonadota; Gammaproteobacteria; Enterobacterales; Enterobacteriaceae. The record is from RNAcentral.